GAUGAACGCUAGCGGCAGGCUUAACACAUGCAAGUCGAGGGGUAUAGUAGCAAUACUAGAGACCGGCGCACGGGUGCGUAACGCGUAUGCAAUCUACCUUUUACAGAGGGAUAGCCCAGAGAAAUUUGGAUUAAUACCUCAUAGUAUAAUUGAAUGGCAUCAUUUAAUUAUUAAAGUCACAACGGUAAAAGAAUGAGCAUGCGUCCCAUUAGCUUGUUGGAAGGUAACGGCUUACCAAGGCUACGAUGGGUAGGGGUCCGUGAGAGGGAGGAUCCCCACCACUGGUAC
RNAcentral lists this ribosomal RNA (288 nucleotides) under uncultured bacterium. RNAcentral's name for it is "partial 16S ribosomal RNA". It matches the Rfam family "Bacterial small subunit ribosomal RNA", at positions 28 to 319 of the family's 1533-position model. The record is from RNAcentral.